UACGUAGGGUGCGAGCGUUAAUCGGAAUUACUGGGCGUAAAGCGUGCGCAGGCGGUUUUGUAAGUCACCUGUGAAAUCUCCUGGCUCAACUGGGAGCUUGCAGGCGAAACUGCCGUGCUGGAGUGUGGGAGAGGUGCGUGGAAUUCCCGGUGUAGCGGUGAAAUGCGUAGAGAUCCGGAGGAACACCGACGGCGUAAGCAGCGCCCUAAACGAGUACUGACGCUCAGGCACGAAAGCUGGGGGAGCAAACAGG
RNAcentral lists this ribosomal RNA (253 nucleotides) under uncultured bacterium. Its description in RNAcentral is "partial 16S ribosomal RNA". It matches the Rfam family "Bacterial small subunit ribosomal RNA", at positions 524 to 776 of the family's 1533-position model. The record is from RNAcentral.